Molecule: ribosomal RNA, 739 nt
Filed under: Pseudarthrobacter sp.
Lineage: Bacteria; Bacillati; Actinomycetota; Actinomycetes; Micrococcales; Micrococcaceae
Description: bacterial SSU rRNA
Rfam family: Bacterial small subunit ribosomal RNA
Source: RNAcentral
GAUGCCCAGCUUGCUGGGUGGAUUAGUGGCGAACGGGUGAGUAACACGUGAGUAACCUGCCCUUGACUCUGGGAUAAGCCUGGGAAACUGGGUCUAAUACCGGAUAUGACCUUCCAUCGCAUGGUGGUUGGUGGAAAGCUUUUGUGGUUUUGGAUGGACUCGCGGCCUAUCAGCUUGUUGGUGAGGUAAUGGCUUACCAAGGCGACGACGGGUAGCCGGCCUGAGAGGGUGACCGGCCACACUGGGACUGAGACACGGCCCAGACUCCUACGGGAGGCAGCAGUGGGGAAUAUUGCACAAUGGGCGCAAGCCUGAUGCAGCGACGCCGCGUGAGGGAUGACGGCCUUCGGGUUGUAAACCUCUUUCAGUAGGGAAGAAGCGUAAGUGACGGUACCUGCAGAAGAAGCGCCGGCUAACUACGUGCCAGCAGCCGCGGUAAUACGUAGGGCGCAAGCGUUAUCCGGAAUUAUUGGGCGUAAAGAGCUCGUAGGCGGUUUGUCGCGUCUGCCGUGAAAGUCCGGGGCUCAACUCCGGAUCUGCGGUGGGUACGGGCAGACUAGAGUGAUGUAGGGGAGACUGGAAUUCCUGGUGUAGCGGUGAAAUGCGCAGAUAUCAGGAGGAACACCGAUGGCGAAGGCAGGUCUCUGGGCAUUAACUGACGCUGAGGAGCGAAAGCAUGGGGAGCGAACAGGAUUAGAUACCCUGGUAGUCCAUGCCGUAAACGUUGGGCACUAGGUGU